AAGAGCCGGGCUCGGGAAGUGCCACGCUCUGUGAUCCCGGCAGCAGGGCUGGGGAACGUUCCAGCGGUGCCAGGGCUGCGGGGGCGACUGCAGCGGGCCGCAGGGUGUUACUGGGUGGUGGAGCGUCGUCACCAUUCACACCAUCCUUCAGGAGAUGGAGUUGCCACCCCAUGUUCCAGGUGCGCACAGCAAGCUCCAGGGGUCCUGCAGACCCCUCGGGUCCUGGCGUGCCCACUAUUGAGACGAGGUGCUGCAGGCGCGGGGCUGCCAGCUGGGUAGGCCUGUUUAAUGUUGCAGCCAGCUGCUGGUGACAUGGGCGUUGUUUUUCCCUGCAUUAUGGUCUGUUU
Long non-coding RNA from Manis pentadactyla (Chinese pangolin), 347 nucleotides. RefSeq lists it as uncharacterized. The record is from RefSeq and is a predicted model, not a curated record. The transcript has 2 exons. NCBI's taxonomy places the organism in Eukaryota, Metazoa, Chordata, Mammalia, Pholidota, Manidae.